CUUUCAAAAGCAGCCUUUCCACAAACACCAGGAAUAGGUCUUGGGAGAAGCAGCUUUCGGCAGUUUAGGUGGGAAUUAAUUCCAAGGGGACUUACAGUGGAUUCUUAGCAAGUCCUCUGGGGGACCUGGCAGUGUGGUCACCAGGAAGCCAGUUCCCUAGGACUGAGAGGAGACAUCCUCUGCCUCUGCCCUCACUUGCCUCCCCAGCUCCAUCCCUAUUUUCCGACUUCUCUAGCUACCUCCUGGUGAUCUCUGUCAGAGGAGAACUCCUGGAGGCCGGAAGUGUGACCCUCUGUCCUCCACUUUAUUAGUAAAGAUGAGGGACACGGGCUGGUUCUUAGACAAAACCAAAGUGAAAUGCCCAGCAGGCAUGCUUAUCUCUGUGAGAGGGGAUGGGAAAGUGGGAGGACCGGCUCCCUUUGGGGAAGGCAAGGGAAGUUUAAAAGAAGCUCAGGGAGAUGGGUAUUGGGGCCAAACCUAACCAGGUGAAAUGCCACCAGAUGAAAACCAAGGAUUAAACAAAAAGAAACAACAACGAUGACAAAGCCAACUGCAGAACGGGAAAACGUGGGCGUGUUAGCUGAGCACGACCUUACUCUCAACCUGUGUGUGGCUUGAAGCCUCGGGAAGUGUGGCCGCAGGAACAACCCCGUGCAGGUCACAGGGAAGAGGAAUCACACAGAAAGGAGCUCUAUUGCUCAAGGGCUGUCAGGACCCUCGAACUGCAUAAGCUUCAGAGUUCCCAAGGUCUUGAUCUUCCCUUGGAGACCAAGGAAUAUGAACUUUCUCAGGGCCUAAAAAAUAAAAUAUGAGUCGAGCCAAAACAAACAAAAUAUUAUUGGCUACAAAAUGAAAAAUUGCAAGAUUGAUAUUAUCAAUAGUAAGUAUGUACUUGUCUACGAAACAUAACACAAUAUCCACUUCAUUAAUUGUAAAAUUUUAAACUCAUAAAGCUUGAAUACAUUUGAAAAUAAUUUGCGGGCUAGGUGUUCUCCCUUGCAAGAUUUCCUGAGUAUGUCUGAUGAUUGUGAAGAAAUCAUAGCUAAUUAGAAAGUGUUGCUCAUACACAAAUAACUUAAAAAGCAAAAAUAUAACAUUUUCUUUCAAAAGUUUUUCCAGAAAAAAUGUAUUUAAAUGUAGAACUUAGUCACUUAGCCACAUCCGUGGCAUUCCCCGGAAUGCUGCUUAGGAGGCUGUCUUAAUAUUGAUUACUUUGCAGAGCAAUCGAUUACCUGUCUCUUUCCCAUACUACGUAUACAGCCAAGUCUCCUUAUUUGCAGUAGUUUUAUUCUAUAAAGUUGCUGCAAACAUCAAAUUAGCAAACACUGAGCCUUUGCUCCUAGGGGAAAUACUGGCUUAGGUUCCUGUGGGCCUCCAGUCACGACAUUUUCAUCAGUAGAUCGAUAUAUAAACUUGUUUUAUGUACAUUUCUGUUGAAGACACCUAAUUUAAUGUCUAUUUCUUAAAACUAAUUAAUCACAUGCAAUAUUUCUGUUUAAUAGAAUACCAGCCGAGAAGGGUUUAACAGCUUUCUGACCCUGGGUAAUGUUACUAUAAAUUUCUUCGGUUCUUAUCCUCACAAUGCUGUCCACUAUGUUUUCUGGUUUUUUUUUUUUUCCACAUCAGUUGUCACUUCAUGAAUUCAUAAGUUCAGCUACUUUUCCGUAGCCUCAUCAGGCAUUCUAGUUAUUAAUUUAGCACUUUCCAGAGCAGAAUCACAUACAAAUCAGUGAUUUUCCUCUCUCCUUUUCUGAAAGUACCAAAUCAUUGGUUCAUUGACAUUGAACUCAUGCCUGAAGGAAACUUAUGGAGCAGUGGUUGUUUCUCCAUAAGUACCUUGUAGCCUUCUUGUGCUUAGAACACUAGAGAAUAUGUCAGCACUGUACUUGCGGGCCAUUUAAAAUAGUGGAAUCACCAAAGAAAAGCACAAAAAUAUGAAAAAUGUGGCACUAAAUAGAUUGCGACAAAGAGGCUUGUUAACAGUAUGGCAGCUGAAACAGGAGAGCAUUGCCUUGCUUGACGUUGGCCAGAACCGUGUGUCAAGCAGCUCAGACCCCACCCGUAUGCCAUGCUAGUUUAGAGACGGUUAUAGAAGUACCAUGAGAAUUUGCUUGCAAAUACAGAAGCCACAAGGCAUGAAGAUCUACCGUUCCCUAUUCGAGAACAGGCUCUCUGUCCUAGUGUUUCCUGUCCUAAUGCUUAGCAUACAGGGGAUUCAAUCGUUAAUUUGUGGAAUAAAUAAAUGAAGAAAGCUCAAAUGUCCUCUCUUUUCUUGGAUCAACCUUACUGGAGUUGAACUCUGCUUCUCAGCUUCACCCUGAGCCUUCUCUUCCUUUAUUACAUCAUGGAGGUGGAUGAAUCCAUUUCCAGAGGCAGACAGCUGAGCUAUUCACAUACCCAAUGAAUAGAUGCUUUUAAUUUUAUUUAAUGUUAUUUCUUUUAAAAAUAUUACCUCCCUUACUAGAUGGUGAAGUCCUGAAGAACACAAUCUCUAUCACAUCUGUUGAUUUAUUUUUAAUGGACUGAAAGUUUGGAUCAGAGGACCUCUGAAACUCUCCGGUUGCUAAAAUUAUUAUUAGGGGCAAAGCUACUGAGCCAUGAUCCAUCAAGGGACUUACAGACAAAUGUAAUCAAACCACUUAGAAGAUUUUACAUUAGUAUCCCCUGCAAAUGACAUAGAGCUUAGUGCAUGCGGUAUCAAAGAUUUCCUUUGCAAAUAAGAGAAGAAAAUAAACGAAGGUGUAUAGCUCAAGGAGAAAAUAACAAAUUGUACUGUUUGGAAGAGAAGCUAAUGAUGAGAGAUUAUAGGGAGCAAGAAUUUGUGCAUGGAAAGGAAUAAUUUAUGCAACAGGAAAUGAUUACCCUGUGAGUAUUUAAGAAGUAAGAAGAAUGCCUGUCAGAGAGGGGCCCCGGUGAUCCUAAGGAAGGCUUGGCACCUGGGGGCUGAACACCGGGAUGGAUGUCAGUGUGUCCAGGCUUCCCUGAUGGUAAAACUCGCCUGAGGCACCUGUUCAAGUCCCGAGGAACCAGAUCUUGUCCUGGCAGCAGCUCUGUUCAGUAGGUCUACACUGGAGGUGGGAAUUUUUGUUUGUUAUUUGCUUUAAACAAGGGAUCCAGGUGAAUCCUAUCCUCAGGAAAGUUUGGGAAGCUCUGGAGUCUGGAAGACUUCUGAGGCCCCUUCAGCUAAAGCCCCACAGGCUCUGCGUCAGCCCACAGUAGCUGCAGUCACACUGCAUGAGCCUCUCACACGAGCUCUUAUGCCAGCAGAGGCGUGUUAACUGAUCAGAUCUCCUAUAGCACCAACUUCUCAAAACUCUCUCCCCCCACAGGGCACAGCCUUGAGGUUACAAUAAAAUCACCUGACUAUAUUGAAUCUUCUCAGUUUCUUAAUGCUAAAAUGUGAUGAUUCAUGGGCGUAGUCACUGAGAUGAACCAUGCCUGUGGAAUCAGGAGGAUGUGCUGGGGUGGCCCUGCUUGCCCAAGCUCAUGCCGGGAGCAGCAGGCUGGGUGGCAGACUUAUUCCUUGAGUGCAUCGCCUGGCUCAGAACAAAAAUGAGUUUGCCCCCAUCCUCUCAGGGGACUGAACAGCUCUGGCCACCCCAGUGGGACUUGGUACAACUAGCCCCUUUUGAAAGGACACUCGUCCUGCAUUUCCUAGGACCAGAGAUGGGAAACAGGGUCUUAUAAUCAAAUUUUGUUUUUAGAUGAAUGGUUUUUGUAAUUAAUAACAAGAAUUCAAUGCACCCACCAAAAAGUAGAGAAUUAAUCUAUAUACCUCUUCCUGCGGGGGGCAACGUAGACAUGCAACGUGCUGGUCGGAGGGUCACUCUGGCACACGCCGUCGCUUAGGCUUGCUGCUCUGCACCUGCGUCACAGGGCUCGGAAGCACCGAGACAUGGGCUGUCUGCAGCAGACACAGCGUUCGGCACUUCCUGAACUCGGGCACAGGCCCGACCACCUGGGGAUCGUGCCAAAAUGUCGAUUCGGAUUUUCUAGGUCCAGAGUGAGGUCUGAGGUUCUGCCCUUCUAACCACCUCCCAGGCCACACUAUGGAUCACACGUUGAGAAGUAAUGUCCUGGGGGUGCUGUAAGAAUCGAGAAAACCAGCAGUGGGCUGCCAGUGAUAAGAGGAGGGAGGAGAACAAGUAAGAAGAUGUUUGGAGAAAGCAUGAGAAAGGCUGAGAAGAGGAGGAGGAGGCGGCACAGAGCCGGGAGAGGGUUCACUGGAUGACAGCACAGGCCUGUGGGAAUAUCUGUGCCUGCACUCUCUGCUUGCACAAUAGAAUCCCCUGGGAACUCUAAAACUUAAUGAUGCCUGGGUCCCACACUCAGAAAUUCUGAUUUAAUUGAGCUGAGGUUUGGGCUGGGAAUUGGGAUUUUCAAAAGCUCCCCAAAUGGUUCUAAUGUGCACCAAGGUGGCCAUCUGCUUCUCAGGCACAAUGAUCUAGGGAUCGGGGGAUGUAGGGAGAAUGAGCUCAGGGGAGCCCUGCAAUAAGCCCAGUCAACGUGCGAUGAGGGUGGAAGGGAGCUGGUGAGGGAAGUGGUGGAAGUCAAGUGCAGUCCUUGUUUUAUUUGUACCUCUGGGAGAGCUCAGUGCUGAGGAACAGAAGAAGCGGGAUUUUUGGGUAAAUGUUAUUCAUAGCUCGCUCAGCCUUGAGACUGUGUCCCUGAGGAGUGUGGCUCAAGGGCUCAGCUGCCCGUCUCUUAGAGUGGAGGGUGGAGGCACAGUCUUUACACGUGUUACAAGUGCCAUUAGGCCCUGGAGAGCCGAUGCCAGGCAGCUGCUCUGGGAUCCGGUUAGUUCUGUAAGGGCAGUGGAGGGCACUGGAAGGGUCUGGGCUCUAGACAUUGUGACCACUUGACUCCUGGGAAGUUGAGCUGUCUCCUACCCUCUUGGCAACAGAUUGGAAUUACAGACUAAAAUAUCAGCUCCUGGGUAUUAAACCAGACUCUGGUUUAAUAAGUCUGGAAUGGGACCUGGGCAUCAACCUUUUUAAAGUUCCCUAGAUAAUGCCAGUGUGAAGUUAGAACCUUCUUGCUUGAGUCCCAUGGAGCUGUGUCUCAUGCUCCAGCCCUGCCCACACCUUCUUUGCUGCAGACUCAAGAGAAUGUGCCAGAAUGUAUUAGUUUCCUAUUUCUGCUGUAACAAAUGACCAUAAACCUAGUGGCUUAAACACUUAUUACCUCAUAAUUCUGGAGGUCAGAAGUCUGACAGGGUCUCCCUGGAAGGGCAAUGUUCCCUUCUGGAGGCUCUGGGGUGGGGUGGGGAGGUGAGGGGGUCCCUUUCCUUGUCUUUUCCAUCUUCUAGAGGUUGCUUGCAUUCCUUGCUCAUGGCUCCCUUCCUCCAUCUUCAAAGCCAGCAGUUGUCUAUCUCUGAACAUUCUUCCAUAGUCAGAUGUUCCUCUGACUGAUAACAGCAGGGAAAGGUUCUCUGCUUUUAAGGUCUCAUGUGAUUAGAUUGGGACACUGGGUAAUCCAGGGUAAUCUCUCCAUCUCAGGGUCCUUAACUUUCAUCACAUCUAAGAGUCCCUUUUGCCAUGUAAUCACAGGUUCUAGGGAUUCGGAGGCAGACAAGUUUGGGGGCCAGUAUCUGCCUACCACGCCUGUCCUGAGACUUGUUCCUCCACUCUGCCCCACACGGUGGCUCCGCUGAUCCAUGGGAGCCUCUGGGCAUCCUUCCUUCUGGGAGGGGGUGGCAGCGAGGAGGGGGGGAGCCGCCGAGUGUAUGACUGAAGCUCUGUAGUCCGGGGCCGAUGGGUAAGAUGAGGAAGGAUGUGCAGCCCACCCCAGAGCCACCUUCCAAAACACUGGGCAGCUGUGACAGACCCAUGAGAAAAGAAAAGUCUAUGUCAUUUUGAAAUGAAGAAAACACAGCAUUUUCUUUGUUCCAUAGCUGUUUUCCAACUGUUGAUAUACUAAGGUUGAUUACAAAGUUCAAAAGAACUUGUGCAAUUCAAUUCCACUUAUACUGAAACUGGAGACUAAAACAAAAUCAUCUUGAAGGUCAAGGGGCACUUAGCACCUGCGGAUCCAGGCUGUAGUGAGAAUGCAAGCAGCUUGGGUUCAUUCAUUCUGCGGGCUGGAGUUCACCUCACAGCUGCCUGCUCUGGCUGUCCUCUCACUUAGCCUUUCCAUGUCCCCACCGGUAUUAAGUGUGAUCACGAGCCUGUUGGCUGUGUACUUUUCUAUUAGAACUCACGCGCCAGACGAGGGCUUGGUCCUUCGUUGGUUUUUGUCUAAGGACAGCGUCUCGGUCUUCAGCAUGAUGGAAAGCCUCAAUUAUCAGAAGCUUUUGGGGCAGAUGAGCAAAAUCUCCACUUUGAAGUCAAAUUCUGUUUGACAUUUUAGGAAUUAACCCAAGAUUUUAUAUUUGCCCUCUUUCCAGCAUUCAUGCACUUCACUGUGUGCUCUUGGGAAAGUCACUCAACCUCUCUGAGGGCAGCACUGGCCUCACCUUGGAGGGCUCAUUCCUGAUGGGCUGGUCAUUUCAGAGCCUCAUUUCCUCUCUAUAACAUGAGGAGGUGGAAGCAGGAGCUUUCUAUGGCCCCAAGGCUCUGUGAUUCUGAGAGAGCAGGGCUGAUCCCAGGGAUGGCAAGGUGGGCAUUGGAAUCUGGUGAGAACCCAAAACACCAGGAGAAGAAUCAGACUCCCAGUCGGCCAAGCAUUGACUCUUCCUGCUUUUCCUUUUCCAGAAACACAGUCCCCACAUCUGCAUCGACUCCUGCCUCCUCCCCUUUCCCGCCCCUCUCUAUGCACUAAGACCAUUUGGUAAAGAGAGGACUGGAGGGAGACCCUCAGGGAGAAGGCCAGGAGGCUGAAAUCAAAAGCAAUUUCAGCUGGGCACGCGGAUCUCCCCUUGCGUCUCAUCACACCCUUCUUAUACCGCCCUCCAAUUUACUUUAUUCCCCACAUUCCACUGAAGGAUGCAUCACCUCCGUGCAAAACAUCAAGUCCUUACCAAUCACCCCACCUAACUGGAAUGGAGGCUGGAAGGAAGGGAGAAGCAGCUCAUCUAGUCUGUUAGUCCAACGUUCAUUUAUUGGGUGUCUUCCGAGUUCAGAGCCAGUCACUGAAUCACAGAACGUCAGGGCUGGCAGAGCCCUCAUAAAUCAUCCCGUCCACCCCCAGUACUUUACAGAUGGCAGCGCUCCCAUGGAGAGGUUAAAUCACCUGCUUCAGGUCACACAGCAGAGCUCAGGCCAGAAUUCAAGAUAGCCUGUCACCGGUUCUUUGUGCUUUGCACCGCACCCUGUGGCUUAAGGAAGGUGCUGAUGGUUGCUUAGCUUCUAUGAGCAUAAAGCGAAGGAAAACAGACACCAUUUCUCUGAAGUGCUCGAAAUUAAGAAGGACCCAGGACGCAAAAAAGAUGAAUAGCAAGGCAUUUUUAGAAAGUGAAAUUGGAAAGCAUGGAAGUAACUCUCUCCUGCAAAUGGUGAUCACAUUAGGAGGAUGUGGGGGAAAAUGGUCUUCUGGGGGGCAGGGAGGAGCCUUUAGUGAAUUGGUUUUCCUUCCUUGCUACAUUGGCUCGUUCGUCUGCUUUCUCACUGGCACACACAAUUCUCCUGCCAUUUUUCUUUUCCUUGACAUAUUUAUUACUUUAUUUUCAUAUUCUACUGUAAACCUUGGUAUACAUAGCUUUUAAAGCAGCUAUUUUUAAUGUAAGAUGACACACUGAGCUUUGAAGCCCCCAAUAAAACUGACCAGGGACAUCUGGCACUAAAAUGCUUGCAUUUCCUCCCCAGAGAAGUCUGCUCUCUGCAGAAAAAGUAAUGCAGGAAUGAAAGCAGGUUGACAUUUUGAAAACAAGAAAACAAUGACCAAAAAAAAUCUUAUUUUUCUACUUCAAGUUGAAGUCCUCAAGAUAGAUCCUUUGACAUCGAGAGUUGACAUUUGUAGCAAUUGGUUAUUUUCAUCUAUUUGACCCUGACUAUAUAGAAGAAGCAGGUAACUCAUCUACUAAUUUCUCUUCAUGGGAACAGGAGAUAGUACUAUGCGUGUUAUUGGGAUUUAAUGCUAAAAAUACACAUAUUAUACAUUCUUAUGAAAAUAAAGGGUUUUUAUUUCUUUUGACAGUUCAAAAAUAAAUAUUCUAGGUAGGGCCUUUGAUAGAACAACCUUGGUUAAAAUACUGCUCCUGGAGAUCCUUGGGAAAUUUUGAAGGAUCUGGGCACCCUCUGAUUGUUGUCAGGUAUAAAUGUUUUUACUUUUUGGGAGGGCGGGAGGCAAAUAGGCUGGGGCUGCAGCUUCUCAGCAAGAGGCACCGAGGUCUAUGUUAGUUUCCAUUGCUAAGGUUAAGCUGAAGAUCUGUGGGGAAGGAGGGGUCCAUAUUGUGUCCAAGGGUCCUUUGUGGAAAGUGAGACCAUUAUCCUGCCCUUUAUGGUUCCUGGCCAAAGUGCCAUCUAUUGUUUGAGAUCUGUGCUUGUUUGCUCUUUUGACUGUUUGCUUAUUAUCUGUCAACAUCUGUAUAUCUGCUUUAGGGAGAAACUUAGUAUUAUGAAAUAAGAUUGACUUAUUACCCCAAAUAAGAGAAAAGGUUGAGCUUGGAUGUCAGUAUGAACGCUCAGUUUCUACCCCAACUAGAAUAAUAGAAGGGAUGGAGAACAGUCACCUAGUGCUCAGCUGACUGAUAGAGGCCACUCCCCGCCCAGUCUUCCCCAUUACCUGGUGACCUUUUCCAGGACCAGCACAGAGGCCUAAGGCCAUAUGGAGAGAAGAGGAAGAUCAGCUACAGCACCGUAUUUUCUAGGCCUCUUACCUAUAGGUGGACAGAGCACAGGGUGCAGUCCACCUUCUUGGUCUACAGAAAAGGAAAUUGAGGACAGAGAGGCAAAGCCCUGGCCCAAGGCCACGUAGCUUAUUACUGGCUGACUUGAAUCCAGCUCCCCUCACUCUCAAAUAAAUAUGCUCUCUACCAAUCAUGAGUGCAAAUGCCAUUUACUUCCAAGUGUUCAUUAAGCCGUCCUUCCCUUCUGGAAGAGUCAGAUUUCUUAAAUGGCACUGAAUUGCUUCCACUUCUUUCAUUUACAUUUGUAUUAGGGCAGAGGAUGAAUUUCGGCUGUAGGAUGCGUUGGUAUUAUUUGUGGCACAAAAUUCAGCAUGCAACAUCACUUGGUUUCUGGAUUAAGAACGGCACUUACCCAUACUGAACAACGCCCAUCAGUGGACCGCCAGGGCCAAUGUCAAGAGUUUGGGCAACAUCAGCCAGGAACUGCUUUUGGAUUCGGAAUCGGCGUUUGCCAAUGCUUGAGCUCCCAUCAAUUAAAAACGACAAGUCAAUUUUGCAGUCUGAGGAAUGAAAAAGGUCUCUGUUAUUCUGAUGAUCUCUCAUUGCAUUAACCCGGGCAGUCUCUCCUCUCUUUCUCCACCACAGCCCCCUGAGAAUCCAAUGCAAAGAAAGGAAAAAGUAGUGGCAAGAUGCAGGGUAUAUUCACUUAUUUAAAUUUGUAACAGAUUUUCACUGGACACCCAGGUCCUGGACACCUAGGCUAGUACUUAUUUCUAUAACUGCUUUAGAAUUCUCUGUAUCAGCCACACUUAGAGCCUGCAGAAGCAAUGGCCUCCCAGUCAAGUGUGGGAAAGCCCCAAGGAUGGUUUCCCCUGCUCAGACCACAUCAGUGCAGGCCCCCAGAUGUAGAAUCACUGAGACUAAGGGUCAGGAGCCUGCGGUCCCCUACCCUCAUCUUAAUUUUGUAGAAUUAUGUGUUGGGUUUUUAUAAAGGUAUGAAAAAAUCUGCAAAGCCCCUGCUGAGGAGAGGGCAGGAAUGGUAGAAUGAGAAAUGGAUACCAAUCUUCUUCACUUCCCCAGGUGAAGCAACCAUAGAAUUACCCACAUUUAUCUACACAUCUCAGUACUUGUUUGUAGCAGUCUCUGAAGUUGUCCCUUUCUUUUCGUUGUGAUAAAGACAAGGACAUUUACUCUGGUUAGAAUCUCUGGACCUCUGUGCAUACACGAAGGGUAUGAGGGAGGUGGGGGACUAAAAGCUCUUCUCAACAUUUCCAACGCUGUAGAAGUUGGUGGAAAGUCACAUAAGCUAAUAGUGUCCUCUUUGCUUUCGACUGAAAUUAUAUCAUCUUAGUAUGAUAAAACUGAUUAUUCAAUACUGAUCAGAAAUUCUUAUUGGGAGGUAUAUAUCCCUUUGCUUAGUAAAAAAAAAGUGGGGAAUGAAUCAUUGAACAACUGUGAUUUGGGAGACAAAAAUAUUUCAAAACAGAUUUCCAUGGGGGGAAAAAAGAGAGAGGGACAGUAAAGUUAGGAAUUUCUGGGCUGGAGUAUCCAUGAGGACACGCGGGCCAGUGCUGUCCUUGGCGCUUGGGCGUGCAGCUGCCUGGACAAGCCUGGAUCUCUCUGGGCUGCUGCACGAUUGCCCAUGAGGCCACACUCAGGCUUUUCUUCUCUCCAAUGCAUCUUGCAUUUCUUCCAUGCAACCGGGGUCUUCCCAUUCCCCAGGAGGAGAUCAGGAGGCAGGGAGGGAUAUAUGUAUAUAUUAAAUGAGAGCAAGAAAUGGACAUGAGUUGACCUAGUGUUAAGCAGAAUCGAUGAGAGAUACUUAUUAAACAGUGAUAUUACAGAAUUGACAGAUUAAGGAAAAAUUUAUAUCUGAGAAUGUGCUUCCUCAUCUUGCACUGACGCAUGGCAAUGAAAGCCAGAGAAGUAGGCGAUGACAGGGACCUCUCUGGGCCUGGCUGACUCUGCUCCAUCUGGAAUUAGUGCCUUGGCUCUUUAGCGGAUCUUGCAAACUUUUAUUUCCUGUCUGCCUGGACAUUCAGUGCCUGCCAACUCUUCCCGUUCCCUUGGCUUCCCCUGUCCUUUGUGGCCCCAAAACUGUCUAUGCCAAAGCAUGAUCCUUGAGAUGAAGAUUGGAAGAAUCAAAUAAAAGCAAGAAGUGAGGCUUAAAGAUACCGCAGAAGGCUGGGAAAAAGCAGAAGAGAAGCAGAACUGUUCUAAGGCUUGUGAUGUUGUACCCCACACAGGGCAAACCCCUUCUUGCCUGUCCAAGCUGGCAAUGAGAAUUGUUGCCAGCAGGUGGCAGUGGUGUUCUUCAGGGCUCCCCUCUCACUGCACCUGUGGUUUGCUAGAAACGAGGACACCCAGGCUCCACCCAGACCUACAGAAUCAGAUUCCCAUUCUAACAAGAUCUCCAGGUAAUCUGUGUGCACAUGAAAGUUUGGGAAACACUCCUGAACAGGGGUUUUUCUUCCAGCUGUCAGCAGAUUAAUUCAAUAUGCCUUUUAAAAUGAAAACUUAAAAAAAAUGUUAAUUAGAAUAAGACCC
Molecule: long non-coding RNA, 11272 nt
Organism: Ailuropoda melanoleuca (giant panda)
Lineage: Eukaryota; Metazoa; Chordata; Mammalia; Carnivora; Ursidae
Exons: 3
Source: RefSeq, a predicted model, not a curated record